CCUACGGGUGACAGCAGUGGGGGAUAUUGCACAAUGGGGGGAACCCUGAUGCAGCGACGCCGCGUGGGUGAAGGAGCGUUUCGGCGCGUAAAGCCCUAUCGGCAGGGAAGCAGGAGGACGGUACCUGACUAAGAAGCACCGGCUAACUACGUGCCAGCAGCCGCGGUAAUACGUAGGGGGCAAGCGUUAUCCGGAUUUACGGGGUGGAAAGGGGGCGCAGAGGGGAGCGCAAGCCAAGAGUGAAAGCCCGGGGCCCAACCCCGGGGCCGCUCUUGGAACUGCGCGGCUGGAGGGCAGGAGGAGCAGGCGGAAUUCCUGGUGUAGCGGUGAAAUGCGUAGAUAUCAGGAGGAACACCGGUGGCGAAGGCGGCCUGCUGGACUGCGACUGACGUUGAGGCCCGAAAGCGUGGGGAGCAAACAGGAUUAGAUACCCGAGUAGUC
RNAcentral lists this ribosomal RNA (441 nucleotides) under uncultured bacterium. RNAcentral describes it as "partial 16S ribosomal RNA". It matches the Rfam family "Bacterial small subunit ribosomal RNA", at positions 338 to 795 of the family's 1533-position model. The record is from RNAcentral.